AUUGAACGCUGGCGGCAUGCCUUACACAUGCAAGUCGAACGGCAGCACGGGUGCUUGCACCUGGUGGCGAGUGGCGAACGGGUGAGUAAUACAUCGGAACAUGUCCUGUAGUGGGGGAUAGCCCGGCGAAAGCCGGAUUAAUACCGCAUACGAUCCACGGAUGAAAGCGGGGGACCUUCGGGCCUCGCGCUAUAGGGUUGGCCGAUGGCUGAUUAGCUAGUUGGUGGGGUAAAGGCCUACCAAGGCGACGAUCAGUAGCUGGUCUGAGAGGACGACCAGCCACACUGGGACUGAGACACGGCCCAGACUCCUACGGGAGGCAGCAGUGUGGAAUUUUGGACAAUGGGCGAAAGCCUGAUCCAGCAAUGCCGCGUGUGUGAAGAAGGCCUUCGGGUUGUAAAGCACUUUUGUCCGGAAAGAAAUCCUUGACUCUAAUACGGUCGGGGGAUGACGGUACCGGAAGAAUAAGCACCGGCUAACUACGUG
Molecule: ribosomal RNA, 486 nt
Filed under: uncultured bacterium
Lineage: Bacteria
Description: partial 16S ribosomal RNA
Rfam family: Bacterial small subunit ribosomal RNA
Source: RNAcentral